GCGGGUGUAGCGCAGUGGUAGCGCAUCUGCUUCCCAAGCAGGCGGUCACGGGUUCAAAUCCCGUCACCCGCU
This 72-nucleotide transfer RNA is filed under the name Anaerolineae bacterium. RNAcentral's name for it is "tRNA-Gly". It matches the Rfam family "tRNA". From Rfam's summary of the family: Transfer RNA (tRNA) molecules are approximately 80 nucleotides in length. Their secondary structure includes four short double-helical elements and three loops (D, anti-codon, and T loops). Lineage: Bacteria; Bacillati; Chloroflexota; Anaerolineae. The record is from RNAcentral.